GUUUGCUAGGCCAGAGUGCUUGUAAGAGUGAAGAUUGCAAAGAUUGUUAGGCUCUUUGCUAAACACAACGCCUGCGGAACCAUUACCGAACUCCUUUACCAAAAAUGCAUUGUUCUUCUUCACAAUUUCCCACACUAAUUGCCCUGGAACUGUUGUCAUUGUUCAGUUUCUAGGGUUUUGCCUUUUGACGGUCUGAAGAAGAAAUGCAAAGAGACGAAG
This 219-nucleotide unclassified non-coding RNA is filed under the name Hevea brasiliensis (rubber tree). The record is from RNAcentral. Lineage: Eukaryota; Viridiplantae; Streptophyta; Magnoliopsida; Malpighiales; Euphorbiaceae.